This 460-nucleotide ribosomal RNA is filed under the name uncultured bacterium. RNAcentral's name for it is "partial 16S ribosomal RNA". It matches the Rfam family "Bacterial small subunit ribosomal RNA", at positions 338 to 795 of the family's 1533-position model. The record is from RNAcentral.
CCUACGGGUGGCAGCAGUGAGGAAUAUUGGUCAAUGGGCGCGAGCCUGAACCAGCCAAGUAGCGUGAAGGAUGACUGCCCUACGGGUUGUAAACUUCUUUUAUACAGGAAUAAAGUUAGGCACGUGUGCCUUUUUGUAAGUACUUUAUGAAUAAGGAUCGGCUAACUCCGUGCCAGCAGCCGCGGUAAUACGGAGGAUCCGAGCGUUAUCCGGAUUUAUUGGGUUUAAGGGGAGCGUAGGUGGAUUGUUAAGUGAGGUGUGAAAUGUUGGGGCUUAACCUGAAAACUGCAAUUGAUACUGGCGGUCUUGAGUAGAGAUGAGGUAGGCGGAAUGUGUGGUGUAGCGGUGAAAUGCUUAGAGAUCAUGAAGAACACCGAUUGCGAAGGCAGCUUACCAAUCUACAUCUGACAUUGAGGCUCGAAAGCGUGGGUAGCAAACAGGAUUAGAUACCCCUGUAGUC